UUACGGCUAUAUCACGUCGAGAUUCCGGUUCUCGUACGAUCACCGAAGUUAAACAACGUCCAGCCUGGUUAAUACGUAAACGGGUGAGUACUUGGAAAUACCAGGUACUGUAAG
Molecule: non-coding RNA, 114 nt
Organism: Acanthosepion pharaonis
Lineage: Eukaryota; Metazoa; Mollusca; Cephalopoda; Sepiida; Sepiidae
Source: the annotation of a GenBank genome assembly